AUACCCUGGUAGUCCAUGCCGUAAACGAUGAGUGCUAAGUGUUGGAGGGUUUCCGCCCUUCAGUGCUGCAGCUAACGCAUUAAGCACUCCGCCUGGGGAGUACGACCGCAAGGUUGAAACUCAAAGGAAUUGACGGGGGCCCGCACAAGCGGUGGAGCAUGUGGUUUAAUUCGAUGCUACGCGAAGAACCUUACCAGGUCUUGACAUCUUCUGCUAACCUAAGAGAUUAGGCGUUCCCUUCGGGGACGGAAUGACAGGUGGUGCAUGGUUGUCGUCAGCUCGUGUCGUGAGAUGUUGGGUUAAGUCCCGCAACGAGCGCAACCCUUAUUGUCAGUUGCCAGCAUUUAGUUGGGCACUCUGGCGAGACUGCCGGUGACAAACCGGAGGAAGGUGGGGAUGACGUCAAAUCAUCAUGCCCCUUAUGACCUGGGCUACACACGUGCUACAAUGGACGGUACAACGAGUCGCGAAACCGCGAGGUCAAGCUAAUCUCUUAAAGCCGUUCUCAGUUCGGAUUGCAGGCUGCAACUCGCCUGCAUGAAGUUGGAAUCGCUAGUAAUCGUGGAUCAGCAUGCCACGGUGAAUACGUUCCCGGGCCUUGUACACACCGCCC
This 613-nucleotide ribosomal RNA is filed under the name Lentilactobacillus parafarraginis. Its description in RNAcentral is "bacterial SSU rRNA". It matches the Rfam family "Bacterial small subunit ribosomal RNA", at positions 782 to 1395 of the family's 1533-position model. The record is from RNAcentral. Lineage: Bacteria; Bacillati; Bacillota; Bacilli; Lactobacillales; Lactobacillaceae.